Long non-coding RNA from Uranotaenia lowii, 1040 nucleotides. RefSeq lists it as uncharacterized. NCBI's taxonomy places the organism in Eukaryota, Metazoa, Arthropoda, Insecta, Diptera, Culicidae. The record is from RefSeq and is a predicted model, not a curated record. The transcript has 3 exons.
UACUGUCCUGUGUUCUAAUCGUCGAAAUUGCGAAGCAAAACAAAAACAAUUAACUAUUUUAACUAUUUUAACAUCAAGAAGUGGACUACCGAAACACCUCCAUACAGCUAUGCAUUCCCGCCACUACUGGGAACAGGCAUUACUUUCUUUGUUGAACAAGAGAACCCCAACAACAUCGAACUUUUGAAAAUUAAAAAACAGACCCCGCCAGGUAAACAGUACAGAGGACAAACCCUGUGGAUGAACCUCUCCGCAACACAACGAAAUGCUAUAAAUUUUUGGCUUUACAAUCUCCUGUAGAUGUGGAGCCGACGAGCGUCACUAAAAUCGGAAAAUGAUUAUCAAAAACUUUUCCAGCAUUGUAACGGAUGGACAUGUAUAAAAUGGGGCCCUUUAAAUCAUCUAAUGAAACAGAAAGGCUUAUGCCUUCCAGAAACAAACUGAAUCCAAGCAUUUCUACAUACGCCCAGCUCAAAUCUCACGAAAAACGGUUCUUCUCAGUUCCUGAUUUGAAGACAAAAAAACGAAGCACUGAGAACACCCUUCACCAACUCACAUCAAAAUGAAACUGUUGGCGGUCAGCUGACCCUCUAGUAAAACUAUCAUACGAACCAGAUCAAUAUUUUCUACACUCAACCCUCAAAUCGACGAUUAUUCCAUGAUCCUACUAAGGCCAUUUUGGGUUUCUUCAACAGUACGUCGACUUGGAAAUUGCUCGAUGUGUCAACGUGCUCAUUCCGGGACCAUACUCCAUUUUAGCAUUUAGCCAUGAGGUUCAGAUCAACAUCAAAUGAAAAUUCUUUGCAACUUCUUAGUUUCGAAUUCAAUUCAAUCAAAUUCAAUUAUUUAAUUCUAAUAUAAAAAAACAAAUUUCAGGUACAGUGAAUGAACUGUUAUAGAAAUGCAACAUGUGCUACAUCAUAAAAUCGUAUUUAAAUGUUAUUAAUUCACAAACAGAUUCAGUUAACAGCAACGAAUUUUGGACCAGCUAAAAAUAACAGCUCACUUGUCCGUUAAACGAAUAAUUUCUACUCGGACUU